UGAUGUGUGGGUGAGAGUCGAGUGAAGUGCGCAGAGCAUUCUGAAACUUGACGUCAACUUUUCCAAACAUAUAUACUGACUCACUACACACACCCAUUCAGUGCACAUCCUAAUACAGUUUCCUAGUAGACCACUGUCUCAAAUUUUGUAAAGAAUGUUACUAGAGUCUUCAACACGGGUUAUCCGCGGUGGUCGGGCGGUAGAGACAAUCUAUUGGUACUACACCAAGGACGGCUCAAAGAUAAGAUUGCACAAGCAUGGGAAGACGCUGGUGUACCGAAAACAACUUGUGCCCAAACAGCCCAGCAUAGCUGACCAAGCCUUCAGCAAGAUUAAAUGACAAUGAUGGUUUGGUGACCUUUGCCUUUAGAGAAGAGCUAUUUCGAGAUGUACGCGCAUUUACGAUCAGUUCUUUUUGAAUCUUAAGUGAUACUAGUUUGUUUUGAAAUUGCAAGUAUUGAUUUUUUCAGUUUCUAUGCAGCGUAAAAGUUAAUUAGGCUAGUGUAACUAUUUAAGUACUUAGCUAAAAGCUGAAAUCUCUUGUAGUAGUAACAUGUGACAAUUAAUUGUUAUUACCUUCUUACACAAUAAAAUUUAAUUUCCUUAGAGUUUUAAUACACUAUAAUGUUUUAAUAAAACGUAAUUUCCUUACAUAAAACUUAAUUUAUAUAAAAUAAUAUAUUAUUAUGAUUUAUGUAAAUAUUGUGCCUAUAUAAUUACUCUCAAUUGCUAGUUUUAAGUUGCCAUAAAAUAGGUCAUGAUUUGUAUAUAUAUUACAAGAUUUCUUUAAAAGUUCUUAUUAGUAUAAAAUUACUGAUAAUUAAUACAUAAAUCUACUACUUGAGAAAACCUUUGUUGAAAAAUAGCUUAGUUUUAUUUAAAACAAUUAUUAAAAAUACAAUAAAUUCAGCCCUACAUUCUGAGCUCAAAUAUCUCUAUAGCCAAGUGGAAAUAAUAACCGUAAUAUCGAAAGGUCCUUACCGUACUUUAUGUAACUUAAAUAUUUCAAUUUUACAUGUUAUUAAUACCAGUCAAUUGUUACAAAGUGAUUAAGACUUCUAAUUUUAAAAACAUAUAAUUUUAGCAUAUUGCACAAAUAGCAGCCAGAUUUUAUUCCUAAGUUGGUUCAUAGGGUAGUUGUUUUUCGUUUUGCUAACCUGAAACUUUGUUUUGGUAGAGGUAAAU
Molecule: long non-coding RNA, 1185 nt
Organism: Homalodisca vitripennis (glassy-winged sharpshooter)
Lineage: Eukaryota; Metazoa; Arthropoda; Insecta; Hemiptera; Cicadellidae
Exons: 3
Source: RefSeq, a predicted model, not a curated record